RNAcentral lists this unclassified non-coding RNA (392 nucleotides) under soil metagenome. Its description in RNAcentral is "partial contains 5.8S ribosomal RNA, internal transcribed spacer 2, and large subunit ribosomal RNA". The stretch from base 1 to 120 matches the Rfam family "5.8S ribosomal RNA", at positions 35 to 154 of the family's 154-position model. The record is from RNAcentral.
GAUGAAGAACGCAGUGAAAUGCGAUAAGUAAUGUGAAUUGCAGAAUUCAGUGAAUCAUCGAAUCUUUGAACGCAUCUUGCGCUCCUUGGUAUUCCGAGGAGCAUGCCUGUUUGAGUGUCAUUUAACUUCUCAACCACAUUGGAUAUUUUUUUUCCGAUGCCGGCUUGGAUGUGGGGGUUGUUUGCAGGCUUUUUGUAACAAAAAAGGUCGGCUCCCCUGAAAUGUAUUAGUGGUAUCUGAGGCUAUUACUAUUAGGUGUGAUAAUUAUCUAUGCCUUUUGGGUAUGCCGCAUGAACAGAUUAUGCUGCUUCUAACGAAAACUAUUUUGAUGAAUUUGACCUCAAAUCAGGUAGGACUACCCGCUGAACUUAAGCAUAUCAAUAAGCGGAGGA